CAAUUUUAAUUUUUCAGGAAUCAUUUCUACAGUUGUUUGCUAGGGAAAUUUUGCUGAAUGUGCAGAGCAGCAGAAACCACUAGGAAAACAUUUAACAUCUUUCCCAGGUGUGAUGGUGCCUCUGAGUAUUGUUCUUUGCCAUUGAUGACCAUGCAUACAUUGGGGGCAGAGAGGGAGGGAGUAUGAAAAAGUAGGAUGUAAUCAUAGUGGA
Sorex fumeus (smoky shrew) is the source of this 211-nucleotide small nucleolar RNA. RefSeq annotates it as small nucleolar RNA U3. Lineage: Eukaryota; Metazoa; Chordata; Mammalia; Eulipotyphla; Soricidae. The record is from RefSeq and is a predicted model, not a curated record. The transcript has a single exon.